RNAcentral lists this ribosomal RNA (335 nucleotides) under uncultured Planctomycetales bacterium. Its description in RNAcentral is "bacterial SSU rRNA". It matches the Rfam family "Bacterial small subunit ribosomal RNA", at positions 473 to 806 of the family's 1533-position model. The record is from RNAcentral. Lineage: Bacteria; Pseudomonadati; Planctomycetota; Planctomycetia; Planctomycetales.
CUAAGGCUCCAGAGGAAGCCACGGCUAACUCUGUGCCAGCAGCCGCGGUAAUACAGAGGCGGCAAGCGUUGUUCGGAAUUAUUGGGCGUAAAGAGCACGUAGGCGGCCUUGCAAGUCAGUUGUGAAAGCCUUCCGCUUAACGGAAGAAUGCCAGCUGAUACUACAGGGCUUGAGUACGGGGGGGGAGAGUGGAACUUCUGGUGGAGCGGUGAAAUGCGUAGAUAUCAGAAGGAACGCCGGCGGCGAAAGCGACUCUCUGGCCCGAAACUGACGCUGAGUGUGCGAAAGCUAGGGGAGCAAGCGGGAUUAGAUACCCCGGUAGUCCUAGCCGUAAA